Molecule: unclassified non-coding RNA, 272 nt
Filed under: Hevea brasiliensis (rubber tree)
Lineage: Eukaryota; Viridiplantae; Streptophyta; Magnoliopsida; Malpighiales; Euphorbiaceae
Source: RNAcentral
UAGAAUCAUUGCAAAUCAAUUUGUAUGGUGAAAAUAUAUAAAGAAAUUCUCCAAUUCUCUGUUUCUACAUGGUAACAGAGCCUUGCCAAAAUUUUUUGGCUUGAACAGUAUAAUUCUAGGUAGUUUUUUUUUGUGGGUCAAGCUUCUACGUUGUUAUAGGAAGCGAGGUAACUGUCACCACCCACCUGCGGAGGAAGGACAACAACCGAUCGGCCUACGCCCGGAGUCCCGCCGCCGUCCGGCGAAGAACGUGAGCUCACGCGCCUCCAGAA